RNAcentral lists this signal recognition particle RNA (300 nucleotides) under Cebus imitator (Panamanian white-faced capuchin). RNAcentral describes it as "Metazoan signal recognition particle RNA (ENSCCAG00000013509.1)". It matches the Rfam family "Metazoan signal recognition particle RNA". Rfam says of the family: The signal recognition particle (SRP) is a universally conserved ribonucleoprotein. It is involved in the co-translational targeting of proteins to membranes. The record is from RNAcentral. Lineage: Eukaryota; Metazoa; Chordata; Mammalia; Primates; Cebidae.
GCUGGGCACAGUGGCACGUGCCUGUAGUCCCAGCUACUCAGGAGGCUGAGGUGGGAGGAUCUCUUGAGUCCAGGAGUUCUGGGCUGUAGUGCGCUAUGCCGAUCAGGUGUCUGCACUAAGUUCGGCAUCAAUAUGGUGACCUCCCGGGAGCGAGGGACCACCAGGUUGCCUAAAGAGGAGGGAACCAGCCCAGGUAGGAAACCGAGCAGGUCAGAACUCCCAUGCUGAUCAGUAGCGGGAUCACGCCUGUGAAUAGCCACUGCACUCCAGCCUGGGCAACAAGAGCAAGACCUCAUCUCU